GCCUGGUGGCUCAGUGGUUGAGUGUCUGCCUUCAGCCCAGGGCAUGAUCUCUGUGGGAUCGAGUCCCACAUCAGGCA
Molecule: transfer RNA, 77 nt
Filed under: Canis lupus familiaris (dog)
Lineage: Eukaryota; Metazoa; Chordata; Mammalia; Carnivora; Canidae
Also listed under: 1 other name
Rfam family: tRNA
About the family: Transfer RNA (tRNA) molecules are approximately 80 nucleotides in length. Their secondary structure includes four short double-helical elements and three loops (D, anti-codon, and T loops). Further hydrogen bonds mediate the characteristic L-shaped molecular structure. tRNAs have two regions of fundamental functional importance: the anti-codon, which is responsible for specific mRNA codon recognition, and the 3' end, to which the tRNAs corresponding amino acid is attached (by aminoacyl-tRNA synthetases). tRNAs cope with the degeneracy of the genetic code in two manners: having more than one tRNA (with a specific anti-codon) for a particular amino acid; and 'wobble' base-pairing, i.e. permitting non-standard base-pairing at the 3rd anti-codon position.
Source: Rfam by way of RNAcentral